Gastrolobium bilobum is the source of this 107-nucleotide small nucleolar RNA. NCBI's taxonomy places the organism in Eukaryota, Viridiplantae, Streptophyta, Magnoliopsida, Fabales, Fabaceae. The record is from RefSeq and is a predicted model, not a curated record.
AAGUCGUACUGGGGGCACUUUCUGAUCAAUUCUUGGAAUCCGGUCCAAGCUGCACAUAGAGUUUCUCCUGGCUGUUGAGUGAAGUUGGUAAUUUCAUUAACCAACUU